Vicugna pacos (alpaca) is the source of this 1004-nucleotide non-coding RNA. The record is from RefSeq and is a predicted model, not a curated record. NCBI's taxonomy places the organism in Eukaryota, Metazoa, Chordata, Mammalia, Artiodactyla, Camelidae.
ACAAAACAUUGUACAUCAAUUAUACCUCAAUUUAAAAAAUAAACAAGUGGUAUAAAAUUUUAAAACAAAACUCUUGGGGUUAUUCCAAUACAUUAUAUCAUCUGCUUGCUCUCCUCUUUCUGCAAUAAUCUAAACAAAUUAAAUCAGGUAGCUCAAAGGUUCCUCGGCUGUAAUGUUUGACUUCCAUUCUGGCACAGUGACACUGGACUCUCCACUGAUUUCUAAAUUGCUUUAUUGUGUAAUUUGGGAGGACUAGAGGAAUAGAAUCUACAAUCAGAGGCAGCUGGUCGAAACAGGUGUUGCAGAAAAUUAUAAUCCUACUUUGAUUAAUCCUGUUUUUUACAGCCACCCUCCAGUUAUGCAUGACAGGUAUCCAAAUAAUCAAACAUACAGUCUUCAUUGCAACAACCGGAGUUAUUGUCAGGAGAAACGUCAGGAAUUACCGAGCCAUUGAUGCCAAAAUAAUGUGUUUCAAGUUUUUGUUAUUCCCUCAUUUCUUGAAUUUUCUGAGGGAAAAUGUGUGUAUGUGAGUGUGUGUGUAUGUGUGUGAUCUUCAUUACAAAGCUGUGCCUUUUUCUGUUCAUGUUGGUGGUUUUCAAUAAUCCACAAAUUUAAAAUUUGCCCUUCCAAAAUAAUUUUAAAACUCAGUUUAGAGUUAACAAGAACAUGGUAACUGUUAUGCAGCAUCUGGAAUUAUACGUGCAUCUGUAACAAGGCAUAUACAAUAUUAAGAAUCUCUAUGUAGUUACUAAAACACGGUAUCAGUUUCAUAUGUGGGUCAACAUGCUGUUAAAGCAUUUCUUCUCCUGAUCUGAUUAUUCUUUCCCAACAUAUAGCAAUUACCAUCCUGACUCACACACAGCUCUGUGGAGGUGUCCGGCAUUCAGCCUUUUUGGGAAUGGUUCUAUUCAUACAGGUAUACCUCGGAGAUAUUCUGGGUUCAGUUCUAGACCACCACAGUAAAGUGACUAUCACAAUAAAUUGAAUCUUGCAAUAAAGUAAGU